Molecule: ribosomal RNA, 497 nt
Filed under: uncultured bacterium
Lineage: Bacteria
Description: partial 16S ribosomal RNA
Rfam family: Bacterial small subunit ribosomal RNA
Source: RNAcentral
GAUGAACGCUGGCGGCGUGCCUAAUACAUGCAAGUCGAGCGAACGAACGAGAAGCUUGCUUUUCUGAUGUUAGCGGCGGACGGGUGAGUAACACGUGGAUAACCUACCUAUAAGACUGGGAUAACUUCGGGAAACCGGAGCUAAUACCGGAUAAUAUUUUGAACCGCAUGGUUCAAAAGUGAAAGACGGUCUUGCUGUCACUUAUAGAUGGAUCCGCGCUGCAUUAGCUAGUUGGUAAGGUAACGGCUUACCAAGGCAACGAUGCAUAGCCGACCUGAGAGGGUGAUCGGCCACACUGGAACUGAGACACGGUCCAGACUCCUACGGGAGGCAGCAGUAGGGAAUCUUCCGCAAUGGGCGAAAGCCUGACGGAGCAACGCCGCGUGAGUGAUGAAGGUCUUCGGAUCGUAAAACUCUGUUAUUAGGGAAGAACAUAUGUGUAAGUAACUGUGCACAUCUUGACGGUACCUAAUCAGAAAGCCACGGCUAACUACGUG